Long non-coding RNA from Paramacrobiotus metropolitanus, 972 nucleotides. RefSeq lists it as uncharacterized. The record is from RefSeq and is a predicted model, not a curated record. NCBI's taxonomy places the organism in Eukaryota, Metazoa, Tardigrada, Eutardigrada, Parachela, Macrobiotidae. The transcript is spliced from 2 exons.
UCAACCCACUAACCGUUGAUGAUGCCGCUUGGAAGUUUGAAUGCCGACUGUGCGUCCACAUUACGUCUCGAUCUGUCCUAUGUAUCCAGGAUUUACUACAGUAUAACGAGACUUCGUGCUUACAAAUGCGAGCGCAGAUUUGAACGUCUACAGUACUUACGCAAACAAAACAAAGCAAUAAUUAAUACUGUACGUUAUGGUUUCGAAGUCCAAACUCCAAAGUUUAAAAUAGCUGCGGUAUAUCACUUGUACUACGCUGAAGUAAAUAAAGAUUGGGAAAUGUGCUGUAGUUGCGGUAUAAAAGCAUGUGCAGUGCAGCCGGUUUGAAAUGAACUUCAAUCCUUCACUUCAGACUCCUUUGAGUGUCCAAACGCAUCUUAUAUUCGCGCAAACGCCAUCUUGUUUUGAUUUAUCGUUGCUUAAGAAGUAAGACAGUGUUUUUAAUAAUGUCUGACCGAACCCAGGACAAAGUGAAAAAUGCCGCCGAAUCCGCAAAAAAGGAUGUGCAAAAUGCAGGUGCUGCUGUUGCCGGUCGACAAGUGCAAGGAAGGAAUAGACAAGCUAAAACAUGCGACGGGAUGUGAAUCUACGACAGACAAGAUCGUUAAUACCUUAAAGGGCAAUUAGCUGACCGGAAAUGAUGCGGAGGACCGGUGUGACAUAGCGAAAGGAAGGACGCAUCUCUCAAAACUUCCUUAUAUAAUUACUCCUCAAGCCUUACAUUAAAUUGCACAGUAUUCCAGUUUUCACGGAAUUGACGGUCAUGAUUGUUUUGUUUUACUUUUGAUGCGGACUCGUACAACCAGAUCAGAUUUUGAUUGGUUGUCAUCUUUCUGAAUAUGUAUGUAUUUUAUGUAUGCAUUGUAUUUUAUUUGUACAACAAUGCUUAGGAUACUUACUUUGUGCAGCCAUUGUGGAAAACUAGAAAUCCAGCUUGGAAUUAUGACCACUGAUUAAAAGUUCUGUAUCAAG